RNAcentral lists this ribosomal RNA (491 nucleotides) under uncultured bacterium. RNAcentral's name for it is "partial 16S ribosomal RNA". It matches the Rfam family "Bacterial small subunit ribosomal RNA", at positions 29 to 506 of the family's 1533-position model. The record is from RNAcentral.
AGUGAACGCUGGCGGUAGGCCUAACACAUGCAAGUCGAACGGCAGCACAGUAAGAGCUUGCUCUUACGGGUGGCGAGUGGCGGACGGGUGAGGAAUACAUCGGAAUCUACUUUUUCGUGGGGGAUAACGUAGGGAAACUUACGCUAAUACCGCAUACGACCUACGGCUGAAAGCAGGGGAUCUUCGGACCUUGCGCGAUUGAAUGAGCCGAUGUCGGAUUAUCUAGUUGGCGGGGUAAAGGCCCACCAAGGCGACGAUCCGUAGCUGGUCUGAGAGGAUGAUCAGCAAAACUGGAACUGAGACACGGUCCAGACUCCUACGGGAGGCAGCAGUGGGGAAUAUGGGACAAUGGGCGCAAGCCUGAUCCAGCCAUACGGCGUGGGUGAAGAAGGCCUUCGGGUGGUAAAGCCCUUUUGUUGGGAAAGAAAAGCAGCAGGUUAAUACCCCGCUGUUCUGACGGUACCCAAAGAAUAAGCACCGGCUAACUUCGU